Chroicocephalus ridibundus (black-headed gull) is the source of this 276-nucleotide long non-coding RNA. RefSeq lists it as uncharacterized. The record is from RefSeq and is a predicted model, not a curated record. NCBI's taxonomy places the organism in Eukaryota, Metazoa, Chordata, Aves, Charadriiformes, Laridae. The transcript has 4 exons.
UUUGCUCUGGCCGCCGCAGCAGAACAGGUUCUCGGUCUUGUGCCCUGCUGGUUGUGCUGUCCUGGGCACCGAGCUCGGGACACAGCUCGGGGGAAGAUUUUUGUAUGGGCGGUUGGAGCCACGGAUAUUAUUGGACGAGGAAAAAUAACGGUGGUAAGAAAGAAGAAAAGGAAGAAGGCGUUGGCUGUCUGGGAAUCCUCCACUCCACUCAAGUACUGGUCCAUCCGUCUUCAGGCUAACUUAUAACAACUGCUUGAGAUACGGCACUCGGGGGGA